ACUUAAAUAAUUUAAAAAAAAUAUUGAUUUGUGGUGUCAAAAAUAUAAAUUUACUUUAUUUUAAGUU
This 67-nucleotide transfer RNA is filed under the name Leptocimbex sp. CSCS-Hym-MC0166. RNAcentral's name for it is "tRNA-His". Lineage: Eukaryota; Metazoa; Arthropoda; Insecta; Hymenoptera; Cimbicidae. The record is from RNAcentral.